RNAcentral lists this unclassified non-coding RNA (302 nucleotides) under Clostridioides difficile. Its description in RNAcentral is "16S-23S ribosomal RNA intergenic spacer (ISR)". The record is from RNAcentral. Lineage: Bacteria; Bacillati; Bacillota; Clostridia; Peptostreptococcales; Peptostreptococcaceae.
GCCUACUGUUUAAUUUUGAGGGUUCGUUUUUACGGAUACUCAAAAUUAGCACUUUGAAAACUGCAUAUAUAUUUAGUGAUAUGACAUCUAAUUUGUAAUAUAUAAAGCUGAUAACUUUUUAAAAUUAUCGAAGUUGAUAGCUUCUAAUCUAUCAAAUCUUUUUAACUGGUCAAGUUAUUAAGGGUGCAGGGCGGAUGCCUUUUAGUGAUAUGACAUCUAAUUUGUAAUAUAUAAAGCUGAUAACUUUUUAAAAUUAUCGAAGUUGAUAGCUUCUAAUCUAUCAAACCUUUUUAACUGGUCAA